GGUGGGUUGGCAGAUCAUGCGCCUGACUUAGGAUCAGGAGAGGGGGCUGAAGUGCUCCACCCACUU
This 66-nucleotide transfer RNA is filed under the name Placopecten magellanicus (sea scallop). Its description in RNAcentral is "tRNA-Leu". Lineage: Eukaryota; Metazoa; Mollusca; Bivalvia; Pectinida; Pectinidae. The record is from RNAcentral.